Scylla paramamosain (green mud crab) is the source of this 2200-nucleotide long non-coding RNA. RefSeq lists it as uncharacterized. The record is from RefSeq and is a predicted model, not a curated record. The transcript has 4 exons. NCBI's taxonomy places the organism in Eukaryota, Metazoa, Arthropoda, Malacostraca, Decapoda, Portunidae.
CAACAUCAGAACAGUAUAUGAAUAUGGCAAAUGCUGUUUUGACAUCAUUUCCUGCCAUCCUGAGAAACAGUGAUCUCGAGGAGCAUGAAUUGCAGCUGCAAUGGAAAUUACGCAUCCAGCGCAAGUUUCAGAAUUCAAGAAAGAGGCAGGAUUCCUCAGUGACUGAGGUGACGUCAAGGAAAAAGAAGAUCCCUUGCAUAGCGCCAAAAGAGACUACGUGUCCACUGAUGUAUGGAGUAAAGGCUUACCUUCCACCAAGGCCCCAUUCAGAAGAUGAUGAGUCAUUAGAGAGACAUAGACAGUGGCUUGCUCUACAGUGGAUGAAGAAAGAUCCCGAGUUAGAUAAGGCUGAACGCCUCAUGCAGUUGACACUCUGAGAGAUGCAAAAAAAUAAUCAAUGGGAACAUUCUUGUAGCAGAAAUCCUGAACUUGUACCCGUGGAUUCAGACUUUUGAUGGCAUAAUCAAGGAGUUUCUGAGAUUAGAACCACAAGCGGAUGAACCAGACCCAAGAGUAGCAGUUUUGAAAGGGCUGGAGAAAUAUAGGCUCCCAAUAAUUGCCAUUCUCAAAAGAAAAGCAGUUCCUCUGUAUAUGGAAACCUUACUUGAACUCUAUGACCACGAUGAAAGUCAAUGCGAGUAAUGUCUAGUUCAAUUUGUUCAUUUCAGUAGCUGGUAGCAAUUUAAUAUAUGUAUCUUUUCAUCAUUAGCAAUGCAUCUUUCACUUUUAUAAGCCUAGUAUUCAUGAAACUAUGCUGCAUGCAAAAACCAAACAUUGUAUUAAGCAUGACCUAUCUAACUGUAAUGCUUGCACCAAUUUCUAUAAAGGUACUAAUUUAAUUGUUAAAUUCCUGCUCUGCUAUCAAAUUUUUGGCUGAGUGCUAUGGCUAAAUAAUUGUUUGCAGCAUAAGUGAUGUUAAAGAUUUUAAUAGGUGUAAAGCAUCUCUCUCUCUCUCUCUCUCUCUCUCUCUCUCUCUCUCUCUCUCUCUCUCUCUCUCUCUCUCUCUCUCUCUCUCGUAAGGAAAGACAUUAUUUCUAGUGUAAAUAAACCCAAUAGGCUGUCCAAUUUGAAAUUUAAAAUGUAAAUAUUAUCAAUCUUUUUAGAAAUGUUAGCUGCAUCCUCUUCCCUUGCAGUCCAAUAAGAUAGGUCACUAAUUCGUGUGGAGAUAGAAUUCUUGGAGCUACCUUUGCCGGCACUAGCACAAGUGCAAACAGUCUGAUAAAGGUUUUUUCCAUGGUUGUGAUGAAGUUCAGGACUUCUCACACUGUUUUGGUGGAUAUGAUGAGAAGAAUCGGGAGUUCAGAACAUCAGUGCGUUAUGUCGGGGCAUGUAGGUUCGGCUGGGGUUUUCUUUCUUUCUUUUUUUUUUUUUGAUCAGUACUCAUCAUAUUCUUAUGAGGACUUGUUAGACAAAGCAUUAUUGCAUUAUGAUAUUACCCAAAUAGUGUCUCAAGUAAAAAACAUAACCACAUACUCGUACAAAAGAUUUGCUGCUGUGACACAAAGGACAAAAAUCAUUAGUAUACUGGUCGUUCUGAGCAUUCAAUCAAAAUGCUUGUCAUUCAUAUAAUUAGUAGAACCAUCGAGGAGCUUUAUUUUUGUUAAUUCUUAUGUGAUAAAGCAAUAAUUACAGGAGACUUUUAAAAGAUUUGUACUCAAAUUAGUGGACUGUCCUAUUGGAUGUGACCAUAUCUUCACUUUUUCCUUACACAGUUAAUUUUCUCUUGUUUAUUUGAUUUACUUAUUAUCAUAUUUAUUUAUAUAUUUAUUUAUUUGCACCAGAUGCUUGCUUAGUUAUAUUGGGAUUACUUCACCUGCUUGGAGAAAGGAAAGACUCCAUUUUUACUAAGGUACCAGAAGAAGAACUAAGAACAGGGCAGUCUAGUGUGUAUUUGAUGGUGCACCUGUAGCUGAACCAACAUGUAUUUCUAUGGCUGUAGUCUCAUUGGUAGCAGGGCUUUGUGUUUAAUAUUGAACACCCUAAAAAUUGUGAACAUUUCCUCCGUUUCACAACAUCCCAUCUCUUAGGUAUCAAGUAUGACAAAGGUAACACUUCAAAAACAAGAUCUCUACUUGUAAAACUCAAUGAAGUAAAGGCAGAAUUGAGCUACAAAAAUGCAUAAAUCUGCUUCCAAAUAUAUUCAACUCCACACAUAAUGCCUCACUCUCUCUCUCUCUCUCUCUCUCUCUCUCUCUCUCUC